CACCCUUGUGACAUUCUCAAGAUACAUAUAUUUUUAAAUAGUCAUUGAUAUCAACGAAAUUCAAUGGCUGAGAAAAUAAAAUCUCAUACUAUCUCAUUGAGUGCAACUUGUCGCAAUUGUCAAUAUUGGAUAUAAAACCCUAACACUACAAUUGUGUAGAGUGGUACAAUAUUUUGUAAUAUGAUAUGUUAUUUAAUUCUCUUUUUAUCAAUAUAUAUUGCGAAGUUGUGAUAGGAUAUGGUGCUUUAGUGGUGAUAUGAUUGCACUAGUCUUUUUCUUCAAUAUAUAUCCAAUGUUUGAGCUCGUUGAAAUCAUCCAAUCAACAACUCCCAAAUCCAUCAUCUACCUAUUUAGAAAGGAAAGGAAAAUUCAAAGAGAAAGAGGAAGGAAUUUAGUCGAAGUAGCACUACACGAAAACUGGCUAAAAAUGACGGAAUUUUGAUCCAAUAAGUACUAAUUUUGACAGAUAUAAUAAAAAUAAAGUAAUAUAAUUCAUCAAUUGACACUUUUUAUUUCAACAAAUAGAAAAUAAACAUGCUUCAAUAAAAAACAAGAUUCCAAAAACUUAUAGUCGACCAUCUAUAUCGAACAUAAUUCUUAUAUCGUAAUCAAGACUCAUCAUUAUCAAGAUUACCUUCACAGGGAUUCUCACUUGUUUUAACAUCGAUCUUACAAACUUCAAAGAUCGAAAUCACAUUGGAAUCAGUCAAGUUGAUCUUUUGGAAGACUUCACAAAGGCAAGAUUUAUUAUCUGAGUAGAGAUGAUUCAUUUUGUCGCAACAUUUAUCCAUACCAACUGUGUUAUUUACAUUGAUGCAAGCAUCAGACAAAGUCUUUACGCAAGUAAGAUCUCCAUGAACCGUCAAUACCAUCCAGACUGUUAUGACCAUGAUCGCCAUAAAUGUAAUUGUCUUCUUCUCCAUCUUCAAAUCUCUUUCACACCAACUAGAUAGCUAGAUAAGAGUUAAGUACUCUUGUGUGACCAACUCAAU
Molecule: long non-coding RNA, 992 nt
Filed under: Zostera marina
Lineage: Eukaryota; Viridiplantae; Streptophyta; Magnoliopsida; Alismatales; Zosteraceae
Description: long non-coding RNA (ZMAR_LNC000447)
Source: RNAcentral